RNAcentral lists this ribosomal RNA (432 nucleotides) under uncultured bacterium. RNAcentral describes it as "bacterial SSU rRNA". It matches the Rfam family "Bacterial small subunit ribosomal RNA", at positions 29 to 507 of the family's 1533-position model. The record is from RNAcentral.
AAUGAACGCUGGCGGCAGGCCUAACACAUGCAAGUCGAGCGAGGACUUCGGUCCUAGCGGCGGACGGGUGAGUAACGCGUGGGAAUAUGCCCUUUGGUACGGAAUAGCCUCGGGAAACUGGGAGUAAUACCGUAUGUGCCCUUCGGGGGAAAGAUUUAUCGCCAAAGGAUUAGCCCGCGUUGGAUUAGGUAGUUGGUGGGGUAAUGGCCUACCAAGCCGACGAUCCAUAGCUGGUUUGAGAGGAUGAUCAGCCACACUGGGACUGAGACACGGCCCAGACUCCUACGGGAGGCAGCAGUGGGGAAUCUUAGACAAUGGGCGCAAGCCUGAUCUAGCCAUGCCGCGUGAUCGAUGAAGGCCUUAGGGUUGUAAGAUCUUUCAGAUGGGAAGAUAAUGACUGUACCAUCAGAAGAAGCCCCGGCUAACUCCGUG